Molecule: long non-coding RNA, 5028 nt
Filed under: Brassica napus (rape)
Lineage: Eukaryota; Viridiplantae; Streptophyta; Magnoliopsida; Brassicales; Brassicaceae
Description: long non-coding RNA (BNAP_LNC006420)
Source: RNAcentral
UGUGCUGAUGAAAGUAACCGCUUCUGAUCUCUUAUCAACACGGUCUCUCCUCAGCUGAGAGGAAACUCCUUGAGAGUACCGAACACCGUUGAUCUCGAGGAGCGAGUCAGGAUCCAGAGGGAUGUGGGUGAGGGUGAGGACCUCAGGUGUGGAAUCAUCCGCCUUGAAGUUGCUGAUUCUGACAUAGAACACUCUCAAAUCCAACAAUGGUGAUGAUGAUGUUCUGUUGUAGCCCUGAUGAUAUCUAACCAUCUGAUAUGCUUCACCGUUGUUGUUGCGUGUCUCGUAAGGCUCCUCCAUAAUUAAGAAGUACUAGAAUCAAUCCCUAAUGUGAUGUGAAAUAGAAAUCAUUCAUUAACCAAAUCGUAACGAAAGAAAUGUAAAGAUUCAAACUUUAAUCACUUUGCCAAAAACAGAGAGAUGGGUCAAAAAUUUACAGAUGUGGAAAUCACAUCUUAAGUUGAAAAAAAAAAACAAAUUAACAAACUUUAAAGCUUUAAAACUACGUUUCUAUCAGAAAGGAACUAUCUUUUCUUUUCAAAACAAAAAUAGAAUUUUCUAAAAAAAAAACUCAGAAAAAUCCGCAGAAAGGAGAGAGGAAGCUCACCGAGGAGAUGGUUCCAUCCACGAGCCCAGAGAAUUACAAUCUGAUGAUUUUUUACAAACUAGUGAUUAGCAUUGAUCUUCCUCCUCCUCCUGCCUGCGUCUCCAAAAUUAAGGAAAGCAAAAAAUAGAAACUUUAUGUGUGGCCAAGUAGGAUUCUGAUUAGAUCUCUCGUAGAUCAUAGAUUUCCAUUAUAUUGCGAGCUCGGCGCGUGGCAGAGGAUUAACGACGAAAGGUUUUGUCUUUAUGGAGGAUAAUUUUGUAUUUUAAUUAGGAGGAAAAGAUUAUUAUAUAUAAUGAGAAAAAGAAAAAAGGAAGAGUGAUGGGAAGAGGUUUGAGAUGUCUCGUUGUUAUGAUCCAACAGGGAGAAGAGGAGAUGGGCUCUUCUGAACGACUUUCCAUCACGUGAUCAUCCUUAUCCUCUUCUUUGGACCAACAAAAAGUCACUGUUUACGAGACACACCGCGUCGGGUCGCUUUUACUAAAACGACGCGAAAUGUCCUGACGUUCGUUGAAAACUGCACGUUGUUGGGCUUUUUUAGUCAAGUGUUGAGCUUUUAAAUUUACAUAUUUCUUGAUAAAAAGGUGGACAUCGUGCCGUUUUGCUUAGGAGUUAAUAAAUUUUGUUGCAAAAACGUUUCAUUUUCUUUAAAACAAAAUUUUAAGUUGAAUAAUCGUUUCUUGAACUACAUACGUAUACGUUGACUGUACCAUCAAUCGUGUUCAAUGAAAUGAAUCUCACAUGAUAAACAUACGUUUUCAGUUAAUAUUGAAUUAAAAUAAGAUCUAAGAAAGUGAAACAAGUUUAACAAAAAAAAAAACAAAAAAAAAAGUGAAACAAAACCAAAAGGACUUUCAUUAGAAGUCAAACCUAACACACAAAUUGCAGCUAGCAACCAGUAGUGAUAAGGUUGCAAAUAUUCUUCACUAGAUUUAUAACUUCAGUCGAUGGAGAUUGAACAACAACUUUACUCAAAACUUUCACUUGAUUCUUAGUUUUUUUUUUUUUUGCGUAGUGUUAGUUAGCCAACUAGUUAGUUAGCUGAGUCAUGCUUUGUCUGUGUGAUUCAAGUCACAUGAACCAAGUGAACAUUUCUUGUCUAGUGUCCAUUUGCAUGUCUGUGACUUCUCUGCUGUGCUGUUCUUCCCUCAUGAAUAAUAGAUUUUGAUACUGCACACUAGUGUGUUAUUCAAAAUGUUUCGCCGCAAGACUACUUCGCAAGCUGAACAAGAGAAUAAUGAAGCAGCUCUCAGAGAGGCAAAGGUACAAACUUUCCAUGACUCUCACUUAUAAACUGAAUAACUGAUUCUUGAAAGAUCAUUUCUUUACUGAUCUUAAUGAUCCACAGAUCAAAGAGGUCAAGACUCUCAUAGGUGAGCUCUCUGGAAGGAGUUCACUCUACUGUUCAGAUCCCUGUCUCAAGAGAUAUCUUGAAGCUAGGAACUGGAACGUUGGCAAAGCCAAGAAGAUGCUUGAAGAGACGCUGAAAUGGAGAUCAACCUUCAAACCUGAAGAGAUCCGUUGGGUAAGUCAUCAACCACAUUCCUUAAGAGUAGGCUUCCUCUGAAACCUUAUCAACUUAAAGGCUUGCUUUGUUUUUUUUUUUACUAGGAUGAAGUUUCAGGUGAAGGUGAGACUGGGAAAGUCUACAAAGCUGGAUUCCAUGACAGAAGUGGAAGAACGGUUCUUAUACUCAGACCUGGAUUGCAGAACACCAAGUCUUUGGAGAACCAGAUGAAACAUUUAGUGUAUCUCAUUGAGAAUGCUAUUAUGAAUCUCCCGGAGGAUCAAGAGCAGAUGUCUUGGCUCAUUGAUUUUACAGACUGGUCGCUGAGCACCAGUGUGCCUAUCAAAUCCGCCAGGGAAACUAUCAACAUACUGCAGAAUCACUACCCUGAGAGACUAGCUGUCGCUUUCCUCUAUAACCCUCCAAGGCUCUUUGAGGCAUUCUGGAAGGUUAGAAGGCAAAUCACUGAUUCUGACUCAUAGAGUUAUACAAAACAUUAGUUAAUGAUGAGUGUUUGUUGUGUGUGUGUUGUUCUGCAGAUAGUGAAGUACUUCAUUGAUGCAAAGACAUUCAUCAAGGUGAAGUUUGUUUACCCGAAGAACCCUGAAAGCGUGGAGCUUAUGAGCUCAUUUUUCGACGAGGAGAACCUCCCAACGGAGUUUGGAGGGAAGGCUUUGUUGCAGUAUAACCAUGAAGAGUUCUCUAAGCAAAUGAACCAAGACGAUGUUAAAACUGCAGACUUUUGGGGAUUGGUUCAUAGUAACAACAAUCACCAGCAGCAGUCCAGCAGUGGAUUUUCUGGAGCUGAGAUUGCUCCUGAGCCAAUACAAACCAACACUUAAAACUAGCUUUGAAAGGCUAUGUAUUGUUGUAACCAACCCUUUUUCAAAUGGGGACAAAGAUAAAGAUAGCUCUUGAUGCUUAGAGGAGAGGACACAGAGAUGUAAGAUUUAGACUCGGUAUUUGAUUAAAUAAAAGGAUUUGUGUGUUAUAAGCAGCUCUUGCAGGUGUUAUAAGUGAUUCCAAUAAUACUUUACACUCAAAAGCAUUUAUUUACAGGAAGAAGACAAGCUUUGUUUCUUUCAGUAUCAUCAAUCUCAACAAACCCAAGAAGAAGAAGAGAAUGGUUUCUUUCAAAAUUUGAAGGCACACAGAAGAAAAAAAAAAACAGAUGAAGAAAGAUUAUCAUACUACACAAAUGUAUUAGCUAUUAAACUCUAUUAAGUUUAGAGAUUUGCGUUGGAGUGGAGUUAGAGAGAGAGACAGAGAAGGCCAAGAAGCUUGAGGCAAGUUUAAGUGAGACUACUAGAUGAGUCUUCUUCUGAAGUUUCUGGUGGUUGAUUGAUAGGUUCGCACCAGAAGGCCAACACCAAUGCCGAGACCUACACAGACGCCAAGACCAAUUCCAACGCCAACCCUCACACCAGCAUUGAACCACGACAUUUCGCCAUCUUCAACAUCUGCGUACUCUCUUCCCAUAUACAUGUCUCCGUAUUCUCCUUCAUAGUCUUGUUUAUAGUUUCCGUAUUCUGUUGCCUACACAAUUUUAAAAAACUCCCAUACUUAGGACAAAACAUUGCAAAGAAUAUGUUUUGGUACAUGGCUCUCUGAAACGAAAAUAAGAAAGAUACAUUCAUAGAGAUAGUCAAGUAAAGAACACAAUGGCCAUUCAACCAGUACUUGUAGAAUAGAGGCUAAUAGUACUUUUAUUCUCAUACUGGUGUUUAGACCUCCAUGAUAUUUAGGUGGAAGUUAUAGACACUAAUAUAGUUUAAGGGAAGCUAAUAACCUAUAGUGAGUUCUAAGAACCAUUCCAAAUAGGUCAACUGCAAUAAAACCUUCAAGCAUAAGUUAAUCUUAACAUUUGAUUCUUCAAUAGGUUAACAUCUUCCCUGGUAAGUAGUCUAUGCAUAAACUAAAGUUGAUAUAUUGUGGCACUAAUGUGAUAACCACAAUGAAUCACAUAAGAACUGAAUGUAGCAGACAGGAGGAUAAGAAUUCAAACAUUAAGAUCACAUGACAAGAGAGAGAGAGAGAGAGAGAGAGAGAGCUUUCUAUUAAUAUGUCAGGCCCCAUACAUCACAUGAUCAUUUAUCAAGAGCUGGUACCAAGAAACAAGCAGACUCAUAUCCUAGGUAACGCAUUCAAAAAACCAUUAUAAUACUAUUUAAAAAGCAUUGAUACAAUGAAACAGCAAAAUGAAAAAUUACCUGAAAAUCAAGCUCAGACGAGUUGCCUUUAUGAGUCUCGCCGGUUUCAUACUCAGGAAUCGAAUCUAACGCAGCCACUCUAUUAUGCAUCUUCUUCCUAAAACCAAGCUGAAGCGUCUUGGUCAAGAUGAUAGGUGUUCCCGAGAAGCAACCAGUGACAUACACUUCAACAGUCGGCAACAACGGAGAUGAUGACAUCUCAGAACAACCAAUGUGUUUCUUCUUCUCCUUCAAGAAACCACACCCUGCAGUGAUCUCAGCUUCACAGUUCAUCCCCCACCGCUUCACGCCAUGCUUAACAGACUCCCCUGUGAAACCAUUACUACCAGACAACUCUAAAGUCCCAGACAAAACAAGCUCAUCUCUGUCAUACACCUCAAACCUCACGCUACCAGAUAGCCUGAUAUUGUCUGUGCUGAUGAAAGUAACCGCUUCUGAUCUCUUAUCAACACGGUCUCUCCUCAGCUGAGAGGAAACUCCUUGAGAGUACCGAACACCGUUGAUCUCGAGGAGCGAGUCAGGAUCCAGAGGGAUGUGGGUGAGGGUGAGGACCUCAGGUGUGGAAUCAUCCGCCUUGAAGUUGCUGAUUCUGACAUAGAACACUCUCAAAUCCAACAAUGGUGAUGAUGAUGUUCUGUUGUAGCCCUGAUGAUAUCUAACCAUCUGAUAUGCUUCACCGUUGUUGUUGCGUGUCUCGUAAGGCUCCU